AAGUCGUAACAAGGUUUCCGUAGGUGAACCUGCGGAAGGAUCAUUACUGAGUUAGGGUCUUCCAGGCCCGACCUCCAACCCUUUGCCUACCUUACCUCUUGUUGCUUCGGCCGGCCCGUCCCCCCUAGAAAUAGGGGUCGACCGCCGGAGGGCUCACACCCUCUGGCCCGCGCCCGCCGAUGGCCCUCAACCAAAAACUCUUGUUCAAUCGUGAAUUGUCUGAGUAUACAAAACAAAAUAAACCAAAAACUUUCAACAACGGAUCUCUUGGUUCUG
RNAcentral lists this unclassified non-coding RNA (276 nucleotides) under fungal sp. RNAcentral describes it as "partial internal transcribed spacer region". The stretch from base 1 to 46 matches the Rfam family "Eukaryotic small subunit ribosomal RNA", at positions 1786 to 1831 of the family's 1831-position model. RNAcentral also lists the same sequence under 1 other name. The record is from RNAcentral. Lineage: Eukaryota; Fungi.